AGUCUUAUAGUCAAUUAUGAUGUUAAAUUGCAAAUUUAAUGGUUUCUUUAGGGUUAAGGCUU
RNAcentral lists this transfer RNA (62 nucleotides) under Aoria nigripes. RNAcentral describes it as "tRNA-Cys". Lineage: Eukaryota; Metazoa; Arthropoda; Insecta; Coleoptera; Chrysomelidae. The record is from RNAcentral.